Molecule: unclassified non-coding RNA, 547 nt
Filed under: Hevea brasiliensis (rubber tree)
Lineage: Eukaryota; Viridiplantae; Streptophyta; Magnoliopsida; Malpighiales; Euphorbiaceae
Source: RNAcentral
AUGAUGGUGCUUGCCAUCAUAGUUUUACUUUUCAGCACGAUUACUGUUAUGACCUCAUUGGUGGCUCUAUCAUUUUAUGGUGCAAGUCAACUCAAGUUUCAAUGGGUGGAACGCUACGAUAAGCUCCUCGUUGGUUCUGUGCUGUGUUUGGUGGGCAUUUUGACCCUUCUUUUUCACGAUCACGAUGAUGUAGGUUCCUCAGGAGUCCACGUGCACAGAAAACUAAAAAGUUUGCUGUAGGAGUUACUCUUCAGCCAGUGAAUCUGUUAAUGCAAAGAGAUACACAAACUUCCCCAUAUUCCAGACGCAGGGGUCGACUUUUCUGUAUGAGGUCUGAGGAUUCACCAUUUUCCAGUUGAGUAAUCUCGUUUUGCAACCAGCUCAUGAUGCUCUGGCAUGGUUAAAGCCAGCAUGGGGUUUAGGGCAGUUCAUUUUUGUUUAGAUUUGUGUUAAAACUUUCAAUAUAGCAACUACAAGAGGAUAUGUAUUUUAAAGGAUUUUCUUUUGAACCCUUUUCUUUGUAAAUGUUAAAAGUGUACAAUACUCG